Salvelinus fontinalis (brook trout) is the source of this 8597-nucleotide long non-coding RNA. RefSeq lists it as uncharacterized. The record is from RefSeq and is a predicted model, not a curated record. The transcript has 3 exons. Lineage: Eukaryota; Metazoa; Chordata; Actinopteri; Salmoniformes; Salmonidae.
CACAUGUACAUUUAUGCUGGCUUGGCCCAUGGUCUGAUCAAAGGUCUGUUAUGAUAGUUGACCAACAGGCACGCCACUGCAAAUAAUUGAUUGACGCUGCCUGAGAUGGUCAGGGGGAUGACUGUGUCAAACAGCUUGUGUUCCUUUACUCCGCGGAUCAUUCUUUCAACAUGCACUCUCAGCCUGGCAAUGAAUUGGGUCUCCCUAACCUCAUGCGCUGGCAUCUGUGUGUGUCUUGACAGAAAGGCUGGCUGGUAGACCUUGCACGGACCAAUGUCGUCUAUGAGAAAGCCCUUAUCCACCAUAACAGCCAUGUCAGGGAGCUGUAGUACAACUUGUUCCCAUGGGACUCAGCAAUCACACCUAAAGACAAAACGAGGGGGAUUGGACCUAACAUUGUAAAUCUGCUGACUCCGACCUUUGGUGGGAGAUUAAUUCAUUGUUUUCAGCAAUGCAUGAAAAUAUGCCAAUUAUCCUAGGACCACAUGCCUUGCCAGCCUCUGCCACUGUUACUACUCACGCCCAACCCCCCAAUUCAAGCCCCAUUCUCAAGCCCCUAGCUGCGUUUACACAGGCAUCCCAAUUCUGAUUCACAACAUCCACCAUUCACAACAGCUCUUUUUUUCAGGGCUGCUCGGAUUUGUCAAAUUACCAAUUAGGGGGAAAAAUAUAUCAGAAUUGGGCAGCCUUACCAGAGAUACUGGGCAUUCCUCAGCUGAGCCGAGGCGACACAACAACCGGGACUGGUUCAAAAUAGGGGAGGGUUAAGAACACCUUCCUAAUAUUGAGUUGCACCGCCCCUUUGCCCUCAGAACAGCCUCGAUUCGUCAGGGCAUGGACUCUACAAGAUGUUGAAAGCAUUCCACAGGGAUGUUGGCCCAUGUUGACUCCAAUGCUUCCCACUGUUGUGUCAAGUUGGCUGGAUGUCCUUUGGGUGGUGGACCAUUCUUGAUACACAAGGGAAAGCUGGAAUGGCGCUGGAGGGGAUGGCUGCUGUUUUACGGGCUCCUUAACAAUUGUGCUAUUUUUGUGUUUUUUCGCCUUGUUUUGUAACUUAUUUUGUACAUGUUUCUGCCACCGUCUCUUAUAAUCGAAAAUAGCUUCUGGAUAUCAGAACAGCGAUUACUCACCUCGAGCUGGACAAAGAUUUUUUCUUUAACGAGUUGAACAUGAAGGAUUUUAAUGCUGCUCCCAGACCAGGCCUAAAUCCCCAUCAUUCGCAAGAAGAGAAGAUGCCGAUACAGGGGAUGCAGAUCUGGGUGCCUUGUGAGAAUUCGUUGGCGAGAGGGUAACCCACCUCUACCAUCCGUCCUAUUGGCCAACAUGCAAUCAUUGGAGAAUAAACUGGAUGACCUCCGUUCGAGACUAUCCUACCAACGGGAUAGCUAAUAUUUUAUGUUUCACUGAUUCUUGGCUGAAUGACGACAUUGCUGGGUUUUCCGUGCUUCGGCAAGACAGAACAGCUACCUCCGAGCUGUUUAUUUACCGCCACAAACCGAUGCUGGCACUAAGACUGCACUCAAGGAGCAAUAUAAGGCCAUAAGGAAAACGCUCAUCCAGAGGCGGCGCUGCUAGUGGCCGGGAACUUUAAUGCAGGAUAACUUAUCUGUUUUACCUAAUUUCUACCAGCAUGUCACAUGUGCAACCAGAGGGAAAAUACUCUAGACCACUUUUACUCCACACACAGAGAUGUGUACAAAGCUCUCCCUCGCCCUCCAUUUGUCAAAUCUGACCAUAAUUCUAUCCUCCUGAUUCCUGCUUAUAUGCAAAAACUAAAGUGGUCAGAUGAGGCAGAUGCUAAUCUACAAGACUAUUUUGCUAGCACAGACUGGAAUAUGUUCUGGGAUUCAUCCGAUGGCAUUGUGGACUAUACCACAUCCAGUCACUGGCUUUAUCAAUAAGUGCAUCGAUAACGUCAACACCAUAGUGCCCUCAAAGCUCAUCACUAAGCUAAGGACCCUGAGACUAAACACCUGCCUCUGCAACUGGAUCCUGGACUUCCUGAUGGGCUGCCCCCAGGUGGUAAGGGUAGGCAACAACACAUCUGCCACGCUUAUCCUCAAUACGGGGCCCCUCGGGUGCGUGCUUAGUCCCCUCCUAUACUCCCUGUUCACACACGACUGCGUGGCCAAGCACGACUCCAACACCAUUAAGUUUGCAAACAACACAAUGGUGGUAGGCCUGAUCACUGACAACAAUGAGACAGCCUAUAGAGAGGAGGUCAGAGACCUGGCAGUGUGUGGUGCCAGGACUAUAAAACAGUGCAUUUUACUCUCUGCCCUAUGGCAAAAUGUGUAGAAUUGAAGGAUAUUUGCUUUAAAACUGCUAUAUGUUCUCUGACGCAUGAAAAAAUGUGUAGCAUAGCAUUAUAAAACUGCACAAUUUUCUCUGCCCCAAUGGCAAAAUGUGUUGAAAUGCAGGAAAUUAGCUGUCCCUCACCCCUCCCCCCAAAAUAUGUUUUCCUAAAUAACAAACAUUUUUAGAUUGGGAGGCUUCCACUUAUCCUUAUACUAUAUUUUCAAAAUACACCUCCAUAUACCCCUCAAGAGUGGCAUAAUUAGUAAUGUCAAACUGUAGAAUUGCAGAAAUUGUAUCCCCCCCCAAUAUCUACACCACAAUUUUGCCACAGUGCAGACUCAGGUGUCUGAUGGUCGGACAAUGGUGGUAUAUUCAUCUGUGCGUACUUUUACCGCUUGGGUAUAAAUGGCAAAAGUGUUCCAUUCAUUUGUCACCAUGAAUUGUUUUUGUUUGUUGGCCUGCACAGGGUUUCCUGAUUUGGAAUUAAUUAAUUAACCACCUCUUUGUGUGGCAAGUCUGAUUUUAGAAAGCAGAGCAGACAUCUGAACAUGGUGCAAUUACUAAGAGGAUUUUGUGACUCCCAUUCCUUCCUCACCUUUGACUGGUUUUGUAAGUCAUCGUUGUUCAAUUAGCAUAUUACAAAACUGUGAAAAGCAGUUCAACCAAUGUCAGAGAUUAAGGUGUUAUAUAAAAGGUUUACAUGUUAAGACAAGACUGCUGAAGGAGUAUUGUCUAACCAGUCACGCAAUGACGGAAUUGUAUAAACAAAACAAUAGUAUAACUCCAUUAUUUCAAAAUACUGGAUGAGAUCAGAGAUGCAAAGAUAUCAAAAGUUUCUCUUAGAAUUUACAUUCAAAUCUGUUGUAAAAAUGAAUUAUGGUUUGAUGGUUCACAUAACUCCAUUGCAUUACCCUAUCAAUUGCACAUUUUCUAGCUGAAGAAGUUGCCCUGGGAACACAAACCUAUGGGCUUUAAAUGGUAGUGGAGACAGAGAUUAAAUUAGUGUCAUCCAGACAGACUUGUAGGCCUACUCCUCGGUCACCAUGCAGGAGGAGAUGGAUUAUCAGACAACAAUCCUACAGUGCAUUCAAAGUAUUCAGACCCCUUCACUUUUUGUACAUUCUGUUACGUUACAGCCUUAUUCUAAAAUUGUUUAAAUUGUUUUUUCCUCAUCAAUCUACACACAAUACCCCAUAAUAAAAAAUCCAAAACAGGUUUUUAGAAUUUGAAAUGGCACAUUUACAUAAGUAUUCAGACGCUUUACUCAGUACUUUGUUGAACCACCUUUGGCAGUGAUUACAGCCUCGAACGCUACAAGUUGGCACCUGUAUUUGGGGAGUUUCUCCCAUUCUUUGCAGAUCCUCUCAAGCUCUGUCAGGUUGGAUGGGGAGUGUCACUACACAGCUAUUUUCAGGUUUCUCCAGAGAUGUUAGAUCGGGUUCAAGUCCGGGCUCUGGCUGGGCCACUCAAGGACAUUCAGAGACUUGUCCCGAAGCGACUCCUGUGUUGUCUUGGCUGUGUGCUUAGGGUUGUUGUCCUGUUGGUUAGAAGGGGAACCUUCGCCUCGGUCUGAGGUCCUGAGCACUCUGGAGCAGGUUUUCAUCUAGGAUCUCUCUGUACCCUGCUCCGUUCAUCUUUCCCUCGAUCCUGACUAGUCUCCCAGUUCCUGCCGCUGAAAAACAUCCCCACAGCAUGAUACUGCUGCCACCAUGCUUCACCGUAAGGAUGGUGCCAGGUUUCCUCCAGGUGUGACACUUGGCAUUCAGCCCAAAGAGUUCAAUCUUGGUUUCAUCAGACCAGAGAAUAUUGUUUCUCAUGAUCUGAGAGUCCUUUAUGUGCCUUUUGGUUAACUCCAAGAGGGCUGGCAUGUGCCUUUUACUGAGGACUGUCUUUCGUCUGGCCACUCUACCAUACAGGCCUGAUUGGUGGAGUGCUGCAGAGAUGGUUGUCCUUCUGUAAGGUUCUCCCAUCUCUACAGAGGAACUCUGAAGCUCUGUCAGUGACCAUCGGAUUCUUGGUCACCUCCCUUGCUCAGUUUGGCCGGGCGGCCAGCUCUAGGAAGAGUCUUGGUGGUUCCAAACUUCUUCCAUUUAAGAAGAAUGGAGGCCACUAUGUUCUUGUGUUCUUGGGGAUCUUCAAUACUGCACAAAUGUUUUGGUAUCCUUCCCCAGAUCUGUGCCUCGACACAAUCCUGUCUCCGAGCUCUACGGACAAUUCCUUCGACCUAAUGGCUUGGUUUCUGCUCUGACAUGCACCGUCAACUGUGGGACCUUAUUUGGAAAGGCACACACCUGUCUAUAUAAUUUCCAAUCAACUGAAUUUACCACAGGUGGACUCCAAAUUGUAGAUACAGCUCAAUGAUGAUCAAUGGAAACAGGAUGCACCUGAGCUCAAUUUCGAAUAUCAUAGCAAAGGGUCUGAUUACCUUUUAAGGUAUUUGUUGUUUACAUUUGCAAACAUUUCUAAAAACCUGUUUUCACUUAGUCUAUUGUGUGUAGAUGAGGAAAAUGCUUUUAAAAUCAAUUUUAGAAUAAGGCUGUAACAUAAAAUGUGGGAAAAGGGAAGUGGUCUGAAUAGUUUCCGAAUGCAUUGUAUGUCCCAAAUGGCACCCUAGCCCCUAUAUAGUGCACUACUUUUGACAAGUUCCCAUAUGGCUCUGGUCAAAGUAGUGCACUGUAUAGGAACUAGGGUGCCAUUUCUCUACAUACCGAAACCUCAAUGUAAAUGGGAAAAUAUUUUCAUAUUGCACAUCUUUUAGUUGGCUCAUUAAAUGCUUUCAAUAUUUGUGUAAGAAUUUCAAAAAUGUAAAGUUGGUUGGAGGUUUUUAAGUCACUGACAUUUGGAGCUAUUGACAUUUAAAAAUAUUGUGUAAUUUACUGAUGGUCCAUAACCAGCCCCAUAGGGAUAUUGAAUGUCAAACCAAAUUGACCAUGGUCAUUACGAUGGAGCCGUGUGCAGCUGCGCUCUGAAUUGAUGAUUACUUGGGUGCUGCCAACUGUGGGCAUGUGGGCAGGAUUGAAAUAAACCCAACUCAAGGAUAAGUGUUACGGUACCCUUCAUUCGGUGCCAUACCAUUUUUUUUCCCUAUCAUCUUGCAAAUCUCAGUUUUGGACGAGACUGACUUUAUGACCGAAGUUAUCCUAUUUACACUUUGCAGUCAAUUUUGACACAAGAAUAAAUGUUUCUUACUCAUAACGAUGCCACAUAGGCCGUUUUAAAAAGUAGAAGUUUCUUUUUAGGGGCAGUCUUUUUCUAUAUUUGUUUUUUUCUGUUGCUUCUGCAGAACUCUUGGAAUCUGUCCUCUGGCAAAGUGAGUAUCAACCUCAUAGAAUCACAUAUAAUAAUUGUGACCAACCUGUCCGCAUCAUCACUGUUACUUACUGCUUCCCUGUGACACCAAAUAAAACUUUGACAUUCAAUGGCCUUUAAUAACUCAUCUCUCUCCCUUAUUUAAUGACUCCACGUCAACUCCAGGAACCUCCAGGAGGUCUGCCCAAGCACAUUUUACGGAUCAUGAGGUAGUACAUUACUACAGUUACACUGUACUUACCAGGGACCAUUAAUAGCUUCUAUUCUCAAGUUACUCAUGUGACCAGUGUCCAAACUGUCUGCCACAAAUUGACUACACUCCACAGCUGCUGUCCACUCACACUAUCCAAGUACUUACUUGGUAAGUACUUAGUACUUGGCUUACUCAAACUUCUAUUUUUAACUCACAGUCAUUGUUAGAUUGCUGGGGUUUGCACUAUGACAGCCUCAAUCCACCAUGGACAUGUUCACUAUUAGGUAUACAAUACCUCCCACAAGAUAAGAGACACAAAAAACACCUACACAAAAAACACCUAAAACACCUAUGUACAAAAGUAUGUGGACACCCCUUCAAAUUAGUGGAUUUGGCUAUUUCAACCACACCCGUUGCUGACAGGUGUAUAAAAUCUAGCACACAGCCAUGCAAUCUCCAUUGACAAACAUUGGCAGUAGAAUUGCCUUACUGGAGAGCUAAGAGACUUUCAACGUGGCACCGUCAUAGGAUGUUCCAAUAAGUCAGUCCAUCAAAUGUCUGCCCUGCUAGUCAUAGGAUGCCACCUUUCCAAUAAGCCAGUUCAUCACAUUUCUGCCCAUGUCAACUGUAAGUGCUGUUAUUGUGAAGUGGAAAAGUCUAGGAGCAACAACGACUCAGCCACAAAGUGGUAGGCCACACAAGCCCACAGAACGGGACUGCCGGGUGCUGAAGCGCUUAAAAAUCCUUGCAACACUCACUACUGAGUUCCAAAAUGCCUCUGGAGGCAACGUCAGCACAAUAAUUGUUCGUCGGGAGCUUCAUGAAAUGGAUUUCCAUGGCCGAGCAGCCGCACACAAGCCUAAGAUCACCAUGCACAAUGCCAAGCAUCAGCUGGAGUGGUGAAAAGCUCGCCGCCAUUGGACUCUGGAGCAGUGGAAAUGCGUUUUCUGGAAUGUUGAAUCACACUUCACCAUCUGGCAGUCCGACGGAUGAAUCUGGGUUUGGCACAUGCCAGGAGCACAGUGACUGUCCAAAUGCAUAGUGUCAACUGUAAAAUUUGGUAGAGGAGGAAUAAUGGUCUCGGGCUGUUUUUUUUCAUGGUUUGGGCUAGGCCCCUUAGUUUCAGUGAAGGGAAAUCUUAACGCUACAGCAUACAAUGACAUUCUAGACGAUACUGUGCUUCCAACUUUGUGGCAACAGUUUGAGGAAGGCCCUUUCCUGUUUCAGCAUGACAAUGCCCCCGUGCACAAAGCGAGAUCCAUACAGAAAUGGUUUGUCAAGAUCGGUGUAGAAGAACUUGACUGUUCUGCACAGAGCCCUGACCUCAACCCCAUCAAACACCUUUGUGAGCCAGGCCUAAUCGCCCAACAUCAGUGCCCGACCUCACUAAUUCUCUUGUGGCUGAAUGGAAGCAAGUCCCCGCAGUAAUGUUCCAACAACUAGUGGAAAGUCUUCCCAGAAAGUGGAGGCUGUUAUAGCAGCAAAGGGGGGACCUACACCAUAUUAAUACCCAUGAUUUUGGAAGGAGAUGUUCGACCUGCAGGUGUCCAGAUACUUUUGAUCAUGUAGUGUAUAUGUGACCAACAAAUUUGGCAUUGGGGGGCAAGGGUAGUGUCAUGGUGAGAAGGUCAUGAUCAGGCCAGUUGGCUGUUUGGCCAAGGUUAGGAGUGUGGUGCUGCAGGGUUUAGGGUGACAGUAUGAUGCAACAUUAUCAGAUAUGUCAUCUUUGUAGGGUGAAAAAGUAGCAUCUCCCAGCCCGAUCCCUAGCUUCCAUCUAGAAUAUUUGCUUUCCCAGCCCUCUUAGUACUUUCUGUAAUUCAUUGACAAUCCCUAACUAGAGCCAGAGGCUAUCCGAAUUCAAACCAAUUUUGCCACGGUAAAGGGUGAGUGACUAACUGUAUACUGUUCUGUGAAUUUACAAAUGCUUGCCAUGUCCAAACACACACACGAGACAACCACAUUAAACACCCCUUUCGUAUAUUUUUUUGUCACCAAAGCCCCAUAUACUACCCACCACUGCGACCUGUACACUCUCGUUGGCUGGCCCUCGCUUCAUACUCGUCGUCAAACCCACUGGCUCCAGGUCAUCUACAAGACCCUGCUAGGUAAAGUCCCCCCUUAUCUCAGCUCGCUGGUCACCAUAGCAGCACCUACCUGUAGCACGCGCUCCAGCAGGUAUAUCUCUCUGGUCACCCCCAAAACCAAUUCUUCCUUUGGCUGCCUCUCCUUCCAGUUCUCUGCUGCCAAUGACUGGAACGAACUACAAAAAUCUCUGAAACUGGAAACACUUAUCUCCCUCACUAGCUUUAAGCACCAGCUGUCAGAGCAGCUCAUAGAUUACUGCACCUGUACAUAGCCCAUCUAUAAUUUAGCCCAAACAACUACCUCUUUACCUACUGUAUUUAUUUAUUUAUUUAUUUUGCUCCUUUGCACCCCAUUAUUUCUAUCUCUACUUUUUUCUAUCUCUACUAUCUCUACUUUUUUUCUUUUUUUUUACUUGCUAUAUUGUAUUUACUUCGCCACCAUGGCCUUUUUAUAUUUUUAUUUAUUUAUAUAUAUAUUUUGUUUGCCUUCACCUCCCUUAUCUCACCUCACUUGCUCAUAUUGUAUAUAGACUUAUUUUUCACUGUAUUAUUGACUGUAUGUUUGUUUUACUCCAUGUGUAACUAUGUGUUGUUGUAUGUGUCGAACUGCUUUGCUUUAUCUUGGCCAGGUCGCAAUUGUAAAUGAGAACGUGUUCUCAAUUUCCCUACCUGGUUAAAUAAAGGUGAAAUAAAAAUAAAUAAAUAAAUAUUCA